RNAcentral lists this ribosomal RNA (241 nucleotides) under uncultured bacterium. RNAcentral describes it as "partial 16S ribosomal RNA". It matches the Rfam family "Bacterial small subunit ribosomal RNA", at positions 92 to 334 of the family's 1533-position model. The record is from RNAcentral.
CGACCGGCGCACGGGUGAGUAACGCGUAUGCAACCUGCCUGAUACCGGGGUAUAGCCCAUGGAAACGUGGAUUAACACCCCAUAGUACUUUUAUCCUGCCUGGGAUGUGAGUUAAAUGUUCAAGGUAUCGGAUGGGCAUGCGUCCUAUUAGUUAGUUGGCGGGGUAACAGCCCACCAAGACGAUGAUAGGUAGGGGGACUGAGAGGUUAACCCCCCACACUGGUACUGAGACACGGACCAG